This 546-nucleotide ribosomal RNA is filed under the name uncultured Actinomycetes bacterium. RNAcentral describes it as "bacterial SSU rRNA". It matches the Rfam family "Bacterial small subunit ribosomal RNA", at positions 935 to 1482 of the family's 1533-position model. The record is from RNAcentral. Lineage: Bacteria; Bacillati; Actinomycetota; Actinomycetes.
GAGCAUGCGGAUUAAUUCGAUGCAACGCGAAGAACCUUACCAAGGCUUGACAUAUAGAGGAAAGGUGCAGAAAUGUACCCCCCGCAAGGUCUCUAUACAGGUGGUGCAUGGUUGUCGUCAGCUCGUGUCGUGAGAUGUUGGGUUAAGUCCCGCAACGAGCGCAACCCUCGUCCUAUGUUGCCAGCACGUAAUGGUGGGAACUCAUGGGAUACUGCCGGGGUCAACUCGGAGGAAGGUGGGGAUGACGUCAAAUCAUCAUGCCCCUUAUGUCUUGGGCUUCACGCAUGCUACAAUGGCCGGUACAGAGGGCUGCAAUACCGCAAGGUGGAGCGAAUCCCACAAAGCCGGUCUCAGUUCGGAUUGAGGUCUGCAACUCGACCUCAUGAAGUUGGAGUCGCUAGUAAUCGUGAAUCAGCAACGUCACGGUGAAUACGUUCCCGGGCCUUGUACACACCGCCCGUCAAGUCAUGAAAGUCGGUAACACCCGAAGCCGGUGGCCUAACCUUUUGGAGGGAGCCGUCGAAGGUGGGAUCGGUGAUUAGGACU